RNAcentral lists this ribosomal RNA (450 nucleotides) under uncultured bacterium. RNAcentral describes it as "partial 16S ribosomal RNA". It matches the Rfam family "Bacterial small subunit ribosomal RNA", at positions 354 to 796 of the family's 1533-position model. The record is from RNAcentral.
GUGGGGAAUUUUGGACAAUGGGCGCAAGCCUGAUCCAGCCAUUCCGCGUGCAGGAUGAAGGCCUUCGGGUUGUAAACUGCUUUUGUACGGAACGAAAAGCCUCUGGUUAAUACCCGGGGGUCAUGACGGUACCGUAAGAAUAAGCACCGGCUAACUACGUGCCAGCAGCCGCGGUAAUACGUAGGGUGCGAGCGUUAAUCGGAAUUACUGGGCGUAAAGCGUGCGCAGGCGGUGAUGUAAGACAGUUGUGAAAUCCCCGGGCUCAACCUGGGAACUGAAUCUGUGACUGCAUUGCUGGAGUGCGGCAGAGGGGGAUGGAAUUCCGCGUGUAGCAGUGAAAUGCGUAGAUAUUGGGAGGAACACCAGUGGCGAAGGCGGCCUGCUGGACAUUAACUGACGCUGAGGCGCGAAAGCGUGGGGAGCAAACAGGAUUAGAAACCCGGGUAGUCC